GAUGAACGCUGGCGGCAUGCCUAACACAUGCAAGUCGAUCGGUAAGGCUCUUCGGAGUACACGAGAGGCGGACGGCUGAGUAACGCGUAGGAACACACCCUGCAGUGAGGGAUAAGACACCGAAAGGUGUUCUAAUACCGCAUACGGUCUUCGGAUUAAAGCAUUUAUGCGCUGAAGGAGUGGCCUGCGUCAUAUUAGAUAGUUGGUGAGGCAAUGGCUCACCAAGUCGAUGAUGUGUAGCUGGUCUGAGAGGAUGAUCAGCCAGACUGGAACUGAGACACGGUCCAGACUCCUACGGGAGGCAGCAGUGAGGAAUAUUGCACAAUGAGCGAAAGCUUGAUGGAGCAAUGCCGCGUGCAGGAUGAAGGCCCUCGGGUUGUAAACUGCUUUUAUAAGAGAAGAUUAUGACGGUAACUUAUGAAUAAGGGACGGCUAACUACGUG
RNAcentral lists this ribosomal RNA (443 nucleotides) under uncultured bacterium. RNAcentral's name for it is "partial 16S ribosomal RNA". It matches the Rfam family "Bacterial small subunit ribosomal RNA", at positions 28 to 507 of the family's 1533-position model. The record is from RNAcentral.